GGGGAGGUAGAGGACGGUAGAGGAGGUAGAGGGAGGCAGUGGGAGUUAGGGGGAGGUAGAGGAAGGUAGAGGGAGGUAGAGAGAGGCAGUGGGAGGUAGGGGAGGUAGAGGGAGGUAGAGGGAGGUAGAGGUAGGUAGGGGGAGGUAGAAGGAGGUAUAGGGAGGUAGAGGGAGGGUAGGGGGAGGUAGAGGAAGGUAGAGGGAGGUAGAGGGAGGCAGUGGGAGUUAAGGGGAGGUAGAGGGAGGCAGUGGAAGGUAGAGGGAGGCAGUGGGAGUUAGGGGGAGGUAGAGGAAGGUAGAGGGAGGUAGAGGGAGGCAGUGGGAGUUAGGGGGAGGUAGAGGAAGGUAGAGGGAGGUAGAGGGAGGCAGUUGGAGUUUGGGGGAGGUAGAGGAAGGUAGAGGGAGGUAGAGGGAGGCAGUAGGAGUUAGGGGGAGGUAGAGGAAGGGUAGAGGGAGGUAGAGGGAGGUAGAGGGAGGUAGGGGGAGGUAUAGGGAGGAAGGGGGAGGUAGAGGGAGGUAGAGGGAGGCAGUGGGAGUUAG
Long non-coding RNA from Oncorhynchus tshawytscha (Chinook salmon), 540 nucleotides. Lineage: Eukaryota; Metazoa; Chordata; Actinopteri; Salmoniformes; Salmonidae. The record is from Ensembl.